RNAcentral lists this ribosomal RNA (500 nucleotides) under uncultured bacterium. Its description in RNAcentral is "partial 16S ribosomal RNA". It matches the Rfam family "Bacterial small subunit ribosomal RNA", at positions 30 to 523 of the family's 1533-position model. The record is from RNAcentral.
AUUGAACGCUGGCGGAAUACUUUACACAUGCAAGUCGAACGGCAGCACGGGGGCAACCCUGGUGGCGAGUGGCGAACGGGUGAGUAAUAUAUCGGAACGUGCCCAGUCGGGGGGGAUAACGUAGCGAAAGUUACGCUAAUACCGCAUACGAUCUACGGAUGAAAGCGGGGGAUCGCAAGACCUCGCGCGAUUGGAGCGGCCGAUAUCAGAUUAGGUAGCUGGAGGGGUAAAGGCUCACCAAGCCAACGAUCUGUAGCUGGUCUGAGCGGACGACCAGCCACAGUGGGACUGUGACACGCCCCAGACUCCAACGGGAGGAAGCAGUGGGGAAUUAUGGACACUGGGCGCAAGCCUGAUCCAGCCAUUCCGCGUGCAGGACGAAGGUUUUCGGGUGGUAAACUGCUUUUGUACGGAACGAAAAAGCCUUGGCUAAUACCCAGGGUCCAUGACGGUACCGUAAGAAUAAGCACCGGCUAACUACGUGCCAGCCGCCGCCGUAA